UACGUAGGGGGCAAGCGUUGUCCGGAAUCAUUGGGCGUAAAGAGCGUGUAGGCGGCUUGGCAAGUCUGACGUGAAAGCCCGCGGCUCAACCGCGGAUUGUCGUUGGAAACUGCCUCGCUAGAGUCCGGAAGAGGAGAGCGGAAUUCCUGGUGUAGCGGUGGAAUGCGCAGAUAUCGAGGAAGAACACCCGUGGCGAAGGCGGCUCUCUGGGACGGUACUGACGCUGAGACGCGAAAGCGUGGGUAGCAAACGGG
RNAcentral lists this ribosomal RNA (254 nucleotides) under uncultured bacterium. RNAcentral describes it as "partial 16S ribosomal RNA". It matches the Rfam family "Bacterial small subunit ribosomal RNA", at positions 524 to 776 of the family's 1533-position model. The record is from RNAcentral.